This 380-nucleotide ribosomal RNA is filed under the name uncultured Pelotomaculum sp. Its description in RNAcentral is "bacterial SSU rRNA". It matches the Rfam family "Bacterial small subunit ribosomal RNA", at positions 1003 to 1382 of the family's 1533-position model. Lineage: Bacteria; Bacillati; Bacillota; Clostridia; Eubacteriales; Desulfotomaculaceae. The record is from RNAcentral.
GAAGUUACGUUUUCACCCUCGGGUGACAGGGAGACAGGUGGUGCAUGGUUGUCGUCAGCUCGUGUCGUGAGAUGUUGGGUUAAGUCCCGCAACGAGCGCAACCCCUACGUUUAGUUGCUAACGCGUGAAGGCGAGCACUCUAGACGAACUGCCGUUGACAAAACGGAGGAAGUGGGAUGACGUCAAAUCAUCAUGCCCCUUAUGUUCUGGGCUACACACGUGCUACAAUGGCCGGUACAGACGGAGGCGAAGCCGCGAGGCGGAGCAAAUCCGAAAAAGCCGGUCUCAGUUCGGAUUGCAGGCUGCAAUUCGCCUGCAUGAAGUCGGAAUCGCUAGUAAUCGCAGGUCAGCAUACUGCGGUGAAUACGUUCCCGGGCCUU